CAGCCGCCGCGGGAAUACGGAGGGUGCAAGCGUUAAUCGGAAUUACUGGGCGUAAAGCGCACGCAGGCGGUUUGUUAAGUCAGAUGUGAAAUCCCCGGGCUCAACCUGGGAACUGCAUUUGAAACUGGCAAGCUAGAGUCUCGUAGAGGGGGGUAGAAUUCCAGGUGUAGCGGUGAAAUGCGUAGAGAUCUGGAGGAAUACCGGUGGCGAAGGCGGCCCCCUGGACGAAGACUGACGCUCAGGUGCGAAAGCGUGGGGAGCAAACAGGAUUAGAUACCCCUGUAGUCCCUGUCUCUUAUAC
RNAcentral lists this ribosomal RNA (301 nucleotides) under uncultured bacterium. Its description in RNAcentral is "partial 16S ribosomal RNA". It matches the Rfam family "Bacterial small subunit ribosomal RNA", at positions 509 to 807 of the family's 1533-position model. The record is from RNAcentral.